GAUGGGUUAAUACAAGUCUUCUAAAUUUGUUUGGGGUUAUUCCACCCCAUUU
RNAcentral lists this transfer RNA (52 nucleotides) under Nematodirus spathiger. RNAcentral describes it as "tRNA-Ser". The record is from RNAcentral. Lineage: Eukaryota; Metazoa; Nematoda; Chromadorea; Rhabditida; Molineidae.